CGUUUAGGGUUAGAGAACCAGUGAUGGCUAGUUACGUUUAGGGUUAGAGAACCAGUGAUGGUUAGGUUUAGGGUUAGAGAACCAGUGAUGGUUAGGUUUAGGGUUAGAGAACCAGUGAUGGUUAGGUUUAGGGUUAGUGUUAGAGAACCA
Long non-coding RNA from Oncorhynchus keta (chum salmon), 150 nucleotides. RefSeq lists it as uncharacterized. The record is from RefSeq and is a predicted model, not a curated record. Lineage: Eukaryota; Metazoa; Chordata; Actinopteri; Salmoniformes; Salmonidae. The transcript has 3 exons.